UAAACGACUAUUAAACUUAGUC
Molecule: non-coding RNA, 22 nt
Filed under: Arabidopsis thaliana (thale cress)
Lineage: Eukaryota; Viridiplantae; Streptophyta; Magnoliopsida; Brassicales; Brassicaceae
Source: RNAcentral